This 1381-nucleotide long non-coding RNA is filed under the name Vitis vinifera (wine grape). RNAcentral describes it as "long non-coding RNA (VVIN_LNC005198)". Lineage: Eukaryota; Viridiplantae; Streptophyta; Magnoliopsida; Vitales; Vitaceae. The record is from RNAcentral.
UGCAAGCAUGAAGUCAAUAGCUACUUUAGUCAGUAACCCACAAAACAUGUAAUUGAUUGAGAUUAGGGCUAGAGGAAACCAAAUUCAGUAAUGCAUAGAGGUCACCCUAAUCAGGGUGCACCUACUAAAAAAAUUGUGAGCACACUUGUCUGAGGAAAAAAUUCUGACCAUAAUGUAUUGAGCUUAACGCAAUGACCAUGUGCAUAGAAUUCUCCGGUAUCAAUUAUGGGUGAAUAAUUUUGCUGAUCUUUGAUUUUUAAUCUCACAAUGACCCGUUUCCAAAUUAGCAUAUAAAUCUUGCAUGUAUAAGGGCUAUGUUGGUUGUCAAUUGUCUUCGCUAUCGGCAUUGUUCCAACUAGUUGGGGGUUGGCAACAAAGCAAACAAUCACACAAGAAGGAUUAUGUGGUUGGACAGUACUCUUAUAUCCAAGUAGGAGAAUGAUAAGGGUUUCAAUCAUUCUCUUGCCUAAGCUCUGAGCUCAAAGCCAUUAUUUUAAUUACAUAACCUUUAUCAAUUUCUGUUAAAAGUAUUAUAUAAAUGCAAAAACAGCUUCAAAUACCAAAAUGUCCCUUGCCAUCAUAGCAAUUCUCUCUGGUACAGGGGUGGAUGGGUCACAAAGCUUGGUGCAGGCAUAAAAUAAAUUCCUGUGUAUAGUAGGUGCAGGCAUAAAAUAAAUUCCUGUGUAUAGUAGGUAAUAGACCAAGUAAAAGGCAUAUCUUAGAAGGCUAGAAUCACCAGACCACCUUGAAUACAAAUGCUCAACCCCUGGAAGCUACCUCCAUAUCUCUCCAUUACUCCACCAAUCAAAGCAAGAACUUUAUUUUAAAAGAACUUUCCCAUAAGAAUGUUACUUUAUGGAUGCCACCACUGUAUUUUAUUUUGUGAAGCAUGGCUGGUCUUGCAAUUCUUUCACAUGACCUUCCAGUUUUCUAAGAGGCCCUACUUACAAUUUAGAUCCCCCCUUACCAAUCUUCAUGAUCUUCUCUGCCCUUAAAAGGGUUCAAUAUCAACUUGCAGAAGAUAAUAACUCCCUGACAAACAACAUGAUCUAACACCCAUUUCUUUGACUUUUAGAGCUAUUUUUUAUCAGAGUUAGUUACACAGCAUUCUCAGCUAUGCUUUUAUGAAACACUUACAAAUCAAAUGUCAAAUGUGACUCUUACUUAUCACAUCCAUGGACACAACAAUGAAGUUCACACCAUCUGAAAUUAAAACAAAAUUUGGAGUACGACAUGGUCGAUCCAAAAUUAAUGUGGUACAGAAAAAUAGUGCCUCUAUUGCCCCUUUCAUGAAAUCCUACUGAAUGGAAACUCAAUUGAAGCACUGUCACUCCUCAAAUUAAAUAUUAUGUUCUCCUAUAUAUAAUAACUAUAGACUAGC